Molecule: long non-coding RNA, 1008 nt
Organism: Lynx canadensis (Canada lynx)
Lineage: Eukaryota; Metazoa; Chordata; Mammalia; Carnivora; Felidae
Exons: 3
Source: RefSeq, a predicted model, not a curated record
GUGAGGAUGAUGAAGAAACAGUUGGCUGCUGCUUGACUUUCUCCUGAUUUUGCCAGCCCCAAGCCCCUCACCUGUACCAGAAGGAGACAAAUCUACGGUGGAAAAUGCCAUUAACGAGAUGCGUGACCAACAUCUAGGCUCCUUGGGACCCAUCUGAAUGCAAGCUGGGAUCAAUCCUUCGUGUAUCUGGACCCCACAGGAGGGAGAGUUCGAGAGCUGCCAGCUGCUGGGCAAAGGAGGAGAGCGGCUUGGAGAGGUGAAGCGGCUUGCUCAAGGUCACCUGGCAGAUGAGCCUUUCGGCUCCUUCCAGCCUUCUCCAGUCCCACCGCUUCUGAGUGAGCAGGAAGCAGCAUGCUGUGGCAGAAAGGGUAGACGCUCAGUGCCUGGCUUUACUGCAGUUCAUGGUCUAAUGUAGAGCCGGGGGCCUCCGAAUAGUAUGCUCAGAAUCAGCAAUUAGUUAGAUGUGGAACCUGAAGGUCAAAGAGAGGCAGUCUAGCUUGCAGUUGUAUAGCUAGCAUGUGACAGAGUCAGGAUCUGCACCCGUGUGGCUGUCUCCAGAGCCAGCAAAGCACACCCAACAAUCCAAACCAAGGUGGACCCAACCCGGGUCUACCUGGUUUGAGCAAGAGUUCCAUGCAUGGGGACUGAGGACUUCCCAGGGGACUGGAGGUCUGCUAGUACUCUCCAAAGGUGUGUGCAUGUAUUUUCUGAAGAGUGUUCAUACCUGCCAUCGGAUCGUCAGAAGAAACCAGGAAACAGGAACGGCUGGUCAGCCGGUUAGCAAAGACAGAAGUCCUCCCCCCUCGCCCCCCUGCACAUGCCCCUGUUCACCCCUGAAAGCUCACCAAGGUUAAGGCAUGAAGAGUGAUGACGUGACCUGUUUGUUAUGAAAUAUUGAAGUAACUCAUGCCAGGGGCCAACACAGAUGAGAUCAUAUCAUAAACAGGAAUCUAGUGAGGCCAGGAGCCUGGUGGAGCCCACCUGGGGAGCUGCCAGGUGGGGGGCAAA